This 470-nucleotide ribosomal RNA is filed under the name uncultured Anaerolineaceae bacterium. Its description in RNAcentral is "bacterial SSU rRNA". It matches the Rfam family "Bacterial small subunit ribosomal RNA", at positions 897 to 1382 of the family's 1533-position model. Lineage: Bacteria; Bacillati; Chloroflexota; Anaerolineae; Anaerolineales; Anaerolineaceae. The record is from RNAcentral.
AAACUCAAAGGAAUUGACGGGACCCGCACAAGCAGCGGAGCGUGUGGUUUAAUUCGUUGCUACACGAAGAACCUUACCUGGGUUUGACAUAUAGGUUGUAGGGAACUGAAAGGGACCGACCCUUCGGGGAGCCUAUACAGGUGUUGCAUGGCUGUCGUCAGCUCGUGUCGUGAGAUGUUCGGUUAAGUCCGCUAACGAGCGCAACCCUCGUCGUAUGUUAUAUGUGUCAUACGAGACUGCCGGUAAAAAGCCGGAGGAAGGUGAGGAUGAUGUCAAGUCAGCAUGACCUUUAUAUCCAGGGCUACACACACGCUACAAUGGUCUGUACAAUGGGUAGCCAAGCCGCGAGGCGGAGCCAAUCCUGAAAGCAGGCCUCAGUUCAGAUUGCAGUCUGCAACUCGACUGCAUGAAGCCGGAGUUGCUAGUAACCGCAGGUCAGCAAUACUGCGGUGAAUACGUUCCCGGGUCUU